UCGUGCUAGAUGGGGCGUUAGCGGUGCCCUGUAACCCGAAAUCCGCUUAUGCGGGGUUGAACGUCCUCCGGAAAUCUUUGAUUUGAGUUCUUUUUUGGUGCUUUGGAGACGAGGUGGACCCUACGUAACAGGCCCUUACGAACCCCGUCAGAUCCGGGAGGAAGCAGCGGUAACUAAGUAAGCAUGUGUCGUGGCGGAAUCUAUCUCUACCCUUCGGGCGGCUAAAAUCUCUCGGUCAGGUGAUUGAUGGAGGAUGCACGG
RNAcentral lists this signal recognition particle RNA (261 nucleotides) under Deltaproteobacteria bacterium. RNAcentral's name for it is "signal recognition particle sRNA large type". It matches the Rfam family "Bacterial large signal recognition particle RNA". Rfam says of the family: The signal recognition particle (SRP) is a universally conserved ribonucleoprotein involved in the co-translational targeting of proteins to membranes. The record is from RNAcentral. Lineage: Bacteria; Pseudomonadati; Myxococcota; Myxococcia.